This 460-nucleotide ribosomal RNA is filed under the name uncultured bacterium. RNAcentral's name for it is "partial 16S ribosomal RNA". It matches the Rfam family "Bacterial small subunit ribosomal RNA", at positions 338 to 795 of the family's 1533-position model. The record is from RNAcentral.
CCUACGGUAGGCAGCAGUGAGGAAUAUUGGUCAAUGGGAGGAAUCCUGAACCAGCCAUGCCGCGUGCAGGACGACGGCUCUACGAGUUGUAAACUGCUUUUGUACCGGGGUAAAAUGCUCUACGAGUAGGGUUUUGAAAGUACGGUACGAAUAAGGAUCGGCUAACUCCGUGCCAGCAGCCGCGGUAAUACGGAGGAUCCGAGCGUUAUCCGGAUUCAUUGGGUUUAAAGGGUGCGUAGGUUGUUUUAUAAGUUAGCGGUGAAAUACCGAUGCUCAACAUCGGGGCUGCCGCUGAUACUGUAGGACUAGAGAUCGGAUGCAGCAGGCGGAAUGCGUGGUGUAGCGGUGAAAUGCUUAGAUAUCACGCAGAACCCCGAUUGCGAAGGCAGCCUGCCAAGCCAUGACUGACGCUGAUGCACGAAAGCGUGGGGAUCAAACAGGAUUAGAUACCCUAGUAGUC